RNAcentral lists this ribosomal RNA (515 nucleotides) under uncultured bacterium. RNAcentral's name for it is "partial 16S ribosomal RNA". It matches the Rfam family "Bacterial small subunit ribosomal RNA", at positions 28 to 523 of the family's 1533-position model. The record is from RNAcentral.
GAUGAACGCUGGCGGCGUGCCUAAUACAUGCAAGUCGAGCGAAUGGAUUAAGAGCUUGCUCUUAUGAAGUUAGCGGCGGACGGGUGAGUAACACGUGGGUAACCUGCCCAUAAGACUGGGAUAACUCCGGGAAACCGGGGCUAAUACCGGAUAACAUUUUGAACCGCAUGGUUCGAAAUUGAAAGGCGGCUUCGGCUGUCACUUAUGGAUGGACCCGCGUCGCAUUAGCUAGUUGGUGAGGUAACGGCUCACCAAGGCAACGAUGCGUAGCCGACCUGAGAGGGCGGUCGGCCACACUGGGACUGAGACACGGCCCAGACUCCUACGGGAGGCAGCAGUAGGGAAUCUUCCGCGAUGGACGAAAGUCUGACGGAGCAACGCCGCGUGAGUGAUGAAGGCUUUCGGGUCGUAAAACUCUGUUGUUAGGGAAGAACAAGUGCUAGUUGAAUAAGCUGGCACCUUGACGGUACCUAACCAGAAAGCCACGGCUAACUACGUGCCAGCCGCCGCGGUAA